ACAACUGAAUAUGUUGAAUGUUGUCUAGACAUCACAAAUGUCCAAAUAUGUCCCAAAUCUACCACAAUAGCUGGUUCAUCCGAGAAGUAGCACCAUUUUGCAGAUUUGAACAAAACUAGAAGCGCAUACACUCUCCAAGCCAAAACGUAACCAGAACAGUUCUGUCGGAGAAACUCCAAGAAACGUCCUUUCUUCCUAGCAUCCCACACACGUAUUAUAUGAUAUGUAUUCUGCAAAGUAAAGAAUAAUAGUCAUAAGGAUAGAUGCACAGCAUGUGGAACCAUCAGAAGUAACAUCAGGUUGUCACCAAACAGAAAUGACAUAACCAACCAAACUACAAACACACAGAACAGAAACUAGAACAUGAUACAAGAAACUCACUUUCAUAUUUUUAUCAAGAUAGGAAGUUACUGGAGUUCCAUCAUGCUUCUCCUCAGGGAUAAGCUUCCCACCAACCACAAUCUCUGGCCUAAUAUUGCACUUCUUGUUGCUCUCCAAUGAGUGAGGAGAAAUAGAUAGAUGAUACUGAUGAAGUUGACCGUAAAGAUUCUCAAACUGUUGUUGAGUUGCAUUUGCUGGCAGAUAGUCCUUUGAAAGAUAAUCUUCAAUAAACUUUUCUCGAUUCAAUCCAGCUGGAGCAGUCACCCAAUCAGGAGGUCUCUUUUCUGCAUUGUAUCCAUAAGGAAACACGGGUAUGUCCUGAUCAUAGGCGAGUGCAAUAACAUCAGGAAUUUUCAAAAGCACACAACAAAGACACAAUUGAAUUUUCAAAAGCACGCAACAAAGACACAAUCUUAAAUUUAGAUUACUUCACAUGAUGACUGCACCAAGUGCGCCACUUUUUCCCUAGCCAA
This 854-nucleotide long non-coding RNA is filed under the name Triticum aestivum (bread wheat). Its description in RNAcentral is "long non-coding RNA (TAES_LNC024753)". Lineage: Eukaryota; Viridiplantae; Streptophyta; Magnoliopsida; Poales; Poaceae. The record is from RNAcentral.